CCCGGCGCGUCCGGACGCUCUAGCCCGCGGGGACGCCGCGCCGGAAGUCUCCGCUGCUCCUCGCGGGGCGGGCCGGCCUGGGGGCGCGCGUACCCGCACUUCCGCCCCCGGAAGGAAGGCAGGCGCGCGCUUCCUGCGGCGCGCGGUUGCGGCCCGGAAAGGUGGAUACUUUGGCAGUUACUCUGGUAUGCUGUGAAUAUUGCUGCUUUUGACAGGACAAAUAUGAUGGAUUUGUGGUGACAGUUGUAAGCUUACAGCCAUCAAGUUGCUGGCAAACAAGUUGGAAUUUGAAUUACCUGUGAAAUCUUUCAUGGAGAUGACUGUAUAUGGGAAAAGGAAAUUCUAGGACAGACUUUGAGCUAGAGCUGAUGUAAUGCAUCCCAGGGAAGCAGUGCUUGGAACUCAGGUAGCUGUAAGCAGGUAAGUUAAUAGCAGAGUAAACUUGCCAGAAACAAGCAUGUAUAAAAGAAUAAAAGAAAUGGAAACAGUAAGACCA
RNAcentral lists this long non-coding RNA (496 nucleotides) under Canis lupus dingo (dingo). Its description in RNAcentral is "lncRNA (ENSCAFG00020023595.1)". The record is from RNAcentral. Lineage: Eukaryota; Metazoa; Chordata; Mammalia; Carnivora; Canidae.